GUGCCAGCAGCCGCGGUAAUACGUAGGGGGCAAGCGUUGUCCGGAAUCAUUGGGCGUAAAGCGCGUGUAGGCGGCUUGGUAAGUCCGCUCUGAAAGCCCGGGGCUCAACCCCGGGAGGCGGGUGGAUACUGUCAAGCUCGAGUCCGGAAGAGGCGAGUGGAAUUCCCGGUGUAGCGGUGAAAUGCGCAGAUAUCGGGAGGAACACCAAUGGCGAAGGCAGCUCGCUGGGACGUGACUGACGCUGAGACGCGAAAGCGUGGGGAGCAAACAGGAUUAGAUACCCUGGUAGUCC
RNAcentral lists this ribosomal RNA (292 nucleotides) under uncultured bacterium. RNAcentral's name for it is "partial 16S ribosomal RNA". It matches the Rfam family "Bacterial small subunit ribosomal RNA", at positions 505 to 796 of the family's 1533-position model. The record is from RNAcentral.